This is a long non-coding RNA of Alosa sapidissima (American shad), 708 nucleotides long. RefSeq lists it as uncharacterized. The record is from RefSeq and is a predicted model, not a curated record. NCBI's taxonomy places the organism in Eukaryota, Metazoa, Chordata, Actinopteri, Clupeiformes, Clupeidae. The transcript has 4 exons.
ACUGUUAAAUGUGGCUGUAGGUUUUGCAGUACAGUACAGCUAAAUUCUACAGUAUGAUACAAUAUCAUGUCUUUACAGCACAGUGUUGUAGUUAAUGUUGCAUUCUGGGUAAUAUUAUUGACGCGGGAAUAUAUUACAGUACAUUUCCCCGCAUACUGUAACUUUGCUGCCACCUUGCUGUAAUAUCGAGAACGAAGUUCUGCCAACCCGACGACUUUACUCCUCUUCUGAAGACAUGACCCAUAGUGGAAUGAGCGCAAGUCAUUGAAAUUUGUUCACUGAAGCCGAGGUAGAGGGGCACGAGAGAUUGCCUGACACCCAGACUCAUUAUGGUUGGACCCUCGCUCAUGACAGCAAAAAGAUGGAUGGUGUCCAUUGAAGGAAGAGUUGCUAUUACAUUCACUGGAUCAGACAGUUUUCCUGCUGCUUUCGCCACUCUUUUUGCAUCGUAUUACGUCUUAAACAUGGAAUACCAAGAGUCAGCUGCAUGCACUUUGGAGCUUGUUCAAAGAUUUCUGGUGAGAAUUAAUCCGGAAGAUGGAAAGAAAUGCACAGCCCGACAGGGAGUGAGCAAGAAGACCGGACGAAUUGUCCAGAAAAAAGCACCACCCAUCAACUCCCACGUUAAUAACUUCAUUCGCUCCUUGCUGGACUUUGAAUGGCAGACCUCUAACUAAGCAGUUACAUCUAACAGGUUGUGUGUGUGUG